Molecule: ribosomal RNA, 254 nt
Filed under: uncultured bacterium
Lineage: Bacteria
Description: partial 16S ribosomal RNA
Rfam family: Bacterial small subunit ribosomal RNA
Source: RNAcentral
GACGUAGGGGGCGAGCGUUGUCCGGAUUUACUGGGCGUAAAGGGCGCGUAGGCGGCUUGUUAAGUGUGGUGUGAAAUCUCCAGGGCUCAACCCGGAAACUGCACCGCAUACUGGCUAGCUUGAGGAACGCAGAGGUGACUGGAAUUCCCGGUGUAGCGGUGAAAUGCGUUGAUAUCGGGAGGAACUCCAAUGGCGAAGGCAGGUCACUGGGCGUUAUCUGACGCUGAGGCGCGAAAGCGUGGGUAGCAAACAGG